Molecule: ribosomal RNA, 497 nt
Filed under: uncultured bacterium
Lineage: Bacteria
Description: partial 16S ribosomal RNA
Rfam family: Bacterial small subunit ribosomal RNA
Source: RNAcentral
GAUGAACGCUGGCGGCGUGCCUAAUACAUGCAAGUCGAGCGAACAGACGAGGAGCUUGCUCCUCUGACGAUAGCGGCGGACGGGUGAGUAACACGUGGAUAACCUACCUAUAAGACUGGGAUAACUUCGGGAAACCGGAGCUAAUACCGGAUAAUAUAUUGAACCGCAUGGUUCAAUAGUGAAAGACGGUUUUGCUGUCACUUAUAGAUGGAUCCGCGCCGCAUUAGCUAGUUGGUAAGGUAACGGCUUACCAAGGCAACGAUGCGUAGCCGACCUGAGAGGGUGAUCGGCCACACUGGAACUGAGACACGGUCCAGACUCCUACGGGAGGCAGCAGUAGGGAAUCUUCCGCAAUGGGCGAAAGCCUGACGGAGCAACGCCGCGUGAGUGAUGAAGGUCUUCGGAUCGUAAAACUCUGUUAUUAGGGAAGAACAAAUGUGUAAGUAACUAUGCACGUCUUGACGGUACCUAAUCAGAAAGCCACGGCUAACUACGUG